RNAcentral lists this long non-coding RNA (386 nucleotides) under Lynx pardinus (Iberian lynx). The record is from RNAcentral. Lineage: Eukaryota; Metazoa; Chordata; Mammalia; Carnivora; Felidae.
GAAGGGGGAGAUCUUAAACUGGAGAGCCCGUAUUCAAAAGGUUCAAAUUUAAGUCACUUAAACACUGCCUUUCUGGCUUCACCUCUAACAGCUUGCUUACUUACCCUUCCCGGAAUCACAAGAUUGUCGAUGCCAAUCAAGUCUUUCUUGAGUUCAUGCAGCUUCUGGAAAUUCUCCAUCUUGAUCAUCGUACCGUGAAGCUGUGCCACCAUUUCAGUAACCUCUGCCAGAGCAGCUGACCAAGGGAACAGAACCGGAAAUGGCAGCAUUAAUGGCGGACGAGGGUCUGUUUUCCCAUCAGACUUCUGGGGGGGAUAUCCUCCAGUAGACGCCCUAAGAUAGAGGCUGUCCUUCUAGGAGAAAACACUGCUAUUUCUAAUAAAAAU